RNA transcript from Oncorhynchus gorbuscha (pink salmon), 3820 nucleotides. It is a transcript of the gene named NLR family CARD domain-containing protein 3-like, with no coding region annotated. NCBI's taxonomy places the organism in Eukaryota, Metazoa, Chordata, Actinopteri, Salmoniformes, Salmonidae. The transcript has 11 exons. The record is from RefSeq and is a predicted model, not a curated record.
GGAUCAGUGCUCUAAAAUGAGUCUCUCUGGGGAGAAAGAGGAGGGCCCUGCCUCUAAAAUGAGUCUCACUGGGGAGAGAGAGGAGGGGGGCCCUGCCUCUAAAAUGAGUCUCACUGGGGAGAGAGAGGAGGGGGGCCCUGCCCCUAAAAUGAGUCUCACUGGGGAGAGAGAGGAGGGCCCUGCCUCUAAAAUGAGUCUCACUGGGGAGAGAGAGGAGGGGGGCCCUGCCUCUAAAAUGAGUCUCACUGGGGAGAGAGAGGAGGGGGGCCCUGCCCCUAAAAUGAGUCUCACUGGGGAGAGAGAGAAGGGGGGCCCUGCCUCUAAAAGGAAUGUCUCUGGGGAACAUGGCACCAAAUUUAAGAGACCAAUCAAGCAGGAGAGACCAGCCACCCCUGUACCCAGCUGUGUGUCCAUGAAGAGUGACCGGUCUAUGGAACCUCCUAUAAUGUUUAGAGAGGAAGACUUUUCUACUGAACAAAGAAACCAACAGGAGAGAUCAGAGUCAGAGAUUCUCAGUGGUCAGUCUUCCCAGAGUCAUCAAACAGACCUGGCCUCCAUAUUCAGUUUGCUUGAAGAGAAAAUUAUGACAUUUGUGAAGAACGAGCUGAAGCUGUUCAAGAGGAAUCUUUGUACAGAACUCCCAGAAGGCUUUGAGAGUCAGAAGCAGGAUAAGGAAGUGGUGGAUGCUGAAGAUGAGAAGCAGGAGAGCAAUGCCAGAGAGGGGGCUCUGAAGAUCACACUGCACAUCCUGAGGAAAAUGAACCAGAAGGAGCUUGCUGACACACUGGAGAAAUAUGAGCUUGCUGUGAUUUGCCAACGUGAACUCAAAUCUAAUCUAAAGAAGAAGUUUCAAUGUGUAUUUGAGGGGAUCGCUAAACAAGGAAACCCAACACUUCUCAAUAAGAUCUACACAGAGCUCUACAUCACAGAGGGUGGAACAGGAGAGGUCAAUAAGGAACAUGAGCUGAAACAGAUUGAGACAACAACCAGGAAACAAGCAAGACCAGAGACUGCAAUCAAAUGUAACGACAUCUUCAAACCCUUAACUGGACAAGACAAACGUAUCAGAACUGUGCUGACAAAGGGAGUCGCUGGCAUUGGAAAAACAGUCUCUGUGCAGAAGUUCAUUCUGGACUGGGCUGAAGGAAAAGCAAAUCAGGAUGUCCAAUUUGUAUUUUCAUUCCCUUUUCGGGAGCUGAAUUUGAUGAAAGAGGACAAACACACUUUAAUUGAACUUCUUAAUCACUUCUCAAUGGAAACCAAAGAUUCAAGAAUCUCCAACUACAACAAGUACAAAGUUCUGUUCAUCUUUGAUGGUCUGGAUGAGUGCCGACUGCCCCUAGACUUCCAGAAGAACAAGAUCUGUUGUGACGUCACAGAGUCAACCUCAGUGGAUGUUUUGCUGACAAAUCUCAUCAAGGGAAAUCUGCUUCCCUCUGCUCUCCUCUGGAUAACUACCCGACCUGCAGCAGCCAAUAAGAUCCCUUCAUGGUGUGUUGACCAGGUGACAGAGGUACGAGGGUUCAAUGACCCACAGAAGGAGGAGUACUUCAGGAAGAGAUUCAGUGAUGAGGACCUGGCCAGCAGAAUCAUCUCACACAUAAAGACAUCAAGGUGCCUCCACAUCAUGUGCCACAUUCCAGUCUUCUGUUGGAUUUCUGCAACAGUCCUUGAAAACAUGCUGAAACAUAAGAGAGAAGAGAUGCCCAAGACUCUGACUGAGAUGUACACACACCUUGUGGUGUUUCAUACCAAACAGAAGAAUGAAAAAUAUCUUGGGAAAGAAGAGACAGGUCCACACUGGAAUAAAGAGAGCAUUCUGUCACUGGGAAAACUGGCUUUUCAACAGCUUGUGAAGGGCAAUCAGAUUUUCUAUGAAAAAGACCUGAAAGAAGCUGGCAUUGACGUCAAUGAAGCCUCAGUGUACUCAGGAUUGUGCACACAGCUCUUUAAAGAGGAACGUGGGCUGUACCAGGACAAGGUGUACUGCUUUGUUCAUCUGAGCAUUCAGGAGUUUCUGGCUGCUGUAUAUGUGUUCCUCUCAUUCAUCAACAACAAUGAGAAUCUAAUGGCCAAAACUCAAUCAACGUCCAGGAAACUUUCUGUGAGGAAAAGACAGAAGCCUAAAUUUACUGUCUACAAGAGUGCUGUGGAUAAAGCCUUACAAAGUGAGACAGGAAACCUGGACCUUUUCCUCCGCUUCCUUCUGGGCCUCUCACUGGAGUCCAAUCAGAAGCACUUACGAGGUCUACUGACAAAGACAAGAAGCAGCUCACAGAGCCAUGAAGAAACAGUCAAGUACAUCAAGAAGAAGAUCAGGGAGAAUCCCUCUCCAGAGAGGAGCAUCAAUCUGUUCCACUGUCUGAAUGAACUGAAUGACCAUUCUCUAGUGGAGGAGAUCCAAAGCUUCCUGAGAUCAGGAAGUCUCUCAAAACCCAACCUGUCACCUGCACAGUGGUCAGCUCUGGUCUUUGUGUUGCUGACUUCAGAAAAGGAGCUGGAUGUGUUUGACCUGAAGAAAUACUCCAGAUCAGAGGAAGGUCUUCUGAGGCUGCUGCCAGUGGUCAAAGCCUCCAGAGCUGUUCUGCUGUCAGGCUGUCUAAUCACAGAGGAAGGCUGUGCUUCUCUGGUCUCAACUCUGAAGUCAAAACCCUCACACCUGAGAGAGCUGGAUCUGAGUAACAAUGAUUUGAAGGAUUCAGGAGUGAAGCUGCUCUCUGCUGGACUGGGGAAUCCCCACUGUAAACUGGAGACUCUGAGGCUGUCAGGCUGUCUAGUCACAGAGGAAGGCUGUGCUUCUCUGGUCUCAGCUCUGAGGUCAAACCCCUCACACCUGAGAGAGCUGGAUCUGAGGAACAAUGACCUGAAGGAUUCAGGAGUGAAGCUGCUCUCUGCUGGACUGGGGAAUCCCCGCUGUAAACUGGAGACUCUGAGGCUGUCAGGCUGUCUGGUCACAGAGGAAGGCUGUGCUUCUCUGGUCUCAGUUCUGAGGUCAAACCCCUCACACCUGAAAGAGCUGGACCUGAGCUACAAUCACCCAGGAGACAAAGGAGUCAGACUGCUCUCUGCUGGACUGGAGGAUCCACACUGCAGACUGGAGAAACUCAAUGUGGAACAUGGUGGAGAGAACAGAAUGAAACCUGGACUUAGAAAAUAUGUCUGUGAUCUCACACUGGACCCAAACACAGUAGACAGAUGCCUCUCUCUGUCUGAGGAGAACAGAAAGGUGACAUGGAGGAGAGAGGAACAGCCGUAUCCUGAUCACACAGAGAGAUUUGAGGACUGUGGACAGGUGCUGUGUAGAGAGGGUCUGACUGGGCGCUGUUACUGGGAGAUAGAGUGGAGUGGGAGAGGGGCUGAUAUAGGAGUGACAUAUAAAGGAAUCAACAGGAGAGGAAGGGGUCUUGAUUGUUGUCUUGGAUGGAAUGACAAGUCCUGGAGUCUGUUCUGCUCUCACAACAGUUACAUUGCCUGGCACAAUGAGAAUCCCACUACCAUAGUCGUCCCCUCCUCCAGCUCCCACAGAGUAGGAGUGUAUCUGGACUGGCCAGCCGGCACUCUGUCCUUCUAUAGAGCCUCCUCUGACACACUGACCCACCUGUACACAUUCACCUCCACAUUCACUGAGCCCCUCUAUCCUGGGUUUAGGGUUCAUGAUGAUUCCUCAGUGACUCUGUAAAUAAUAACCUUAAACACAUACACACACACACUACACUCACACACUGGACACACAAACACACAGGACACACACACACAAACACACAGGACACAUACACACACGCUGGACACAGACUCAGACUGACACAUACACACACAUACA